RNAcentral lists this small nuclear RNA (107 nucleotides) under Canis lupus familiaris (dog). Lineage: Eukaryota; Metazoa; Chordata; Mammalia; Carnivora; Canidae. The record is from RNAcentral.
AUGCUCACUUUGGCAGCAUAUAUACUAAAAUUGGAAUGAUACAGAGGAGAUUAGCAUGGCCCCUGUGCAGGGAUGACACACAAAUUCGUGAAGCAUUCCAUAUUUUU